RNAcentral lists this ribosomal RNA (439 nucleotides) under bacterium Fw70-6. RNAcentral's name for it is "bacterial SSU rRNA". It matches the Rfam family "Bacterial small subunit ribosomal RNA", at positions 28 to 478 of the family's 1533-position model. The record is from RNAcentral.
GACGAACGCUGGCGGCGUGCUUAACACAUGCAAGUCGAACGAUGAAGCUGGAGCUUGCUCCGGUGGAUUAGUGGCGAACGGGUGAGUAACACGUGAGCAAUCUGCCCUUGACUCUGGGAUAACUGCGGGAAACUGUAGCUAAUACCGGAUAUUUUCCCUGGUGGGCAUCCACUGGGGAAGAAAGAAUUUCGGUCAAGGAUGAGCUCGCGGCCUAUCAGCUAGUUGGUGAGGUAAUGGCUCACCAAGGCGACGACGGGUAGCCGGCCUGAGAGGGUGACCGGCCACACUGGAACUGAGACACGGUCCAGACUCCUACGGGAGGCAGCAGUGGGGAAUAUUGCACAAUGGGCGAAAGCCUGAUGCAGCAACGCCGCGUGAGGGACGAAGGCCUUCGGGUUGUAAACCUCUUUUAGCAGGGAAGAAGCGAAAGUGACGGUAC